This 270-nucleotide long non-coding RNA is filed under the name Malus domestica (apple). Its description in RNAcentral is "long non-coding RNA (MDOM_LNC009232)". Lineage: Eukaryota; Viridiplantae; Streptophyta; Magnoliopsida; Rosales; Rosaceae. The record is from RNAcentral.
UCAAUUCGACCAAUCCGCAGCACCACCGCCCCUAAAAUUGUUUCGGCUCCUGGCCUUAGGAGAAGUGGUUUGAUGGUGGUGAUGGUAGACAUUACUUUCACGAUCGUCGAAUUUCCGCCGUGGUACCCUCGGAACCCACGGGUUCCGUUCUGCUCGAAUUCAAGCUCAAACCCAAUAAAAUUUGGGUGGAAAUGGAAGAGGGGAAGAGGCUGAUUGAUUUAAAGGUGGCGGAACGGGUCCGGUCCGAUAGGUUAUUCGGGUCAACUCGUU